Molecule: non-coding RNA, 26 nt
Filed under: Rattus norvegicus (Norway rat)
Lineage: Eukaryota; Metazoa; Chordata; Mammalia; Rodentia; Muridae
Source: RNAcentral
AGAAGAUCUGCUUUACCCGCUUCCGU